This 1614-nucleotide ribosomal RNA is filed under the name Ophiognomonia sp. LCM 367. RNAcentral describes it as "eukaryotic LSU rRNA". It matches the Rfam family "Eukaryotic large subunit ribosomal RNA", at positions 78 to 1407 of the family's 3401-position model. The record is from RNAcentral. Lineage: Eukaryota; Fungi; Ascomycota; Sordariomycetes; Diaporthales; Gnomoniaceae.
CCUUAGUAACGGCGAGUGAAGCGGCAACAGCUCAAAUUUGAAAUCUGGCUUCGGCCCGAGUUGUAAUUUGUAGAGGAUGUUUAUGGUGCGGUACCUUCCGAGUUCCCUGGAACGGGACGCCACAGAGGGUGAGAGCCCCGUCUGGUUGGAUACCAAACCUGUGUUAAACUCCUUCAACGAGUCGAGUAGUUUGGGAAUGCUGCUCUAAAUGGGAGGUAAAUCUCUUCUAAAGCUAAAUACCGGCCAGAGACCGAUAGCGCACAAGUAGAGUGAUCGAAAGAUGAAAAGCACCUUGAAAAGGGGGUUAAACAGUACGUGAAAUUGUUGAAAGGGAAGCGUUUAUGACCAGACUUGUGCCGUGUGGCUCAUCCGAGGUUCUCCCCGGUGCACUCCACACGGUUCAGGCCAACAUCGGUUUUCGCUGGGGGAUAAUAAUAGUAGGAACGUGGCUCCUUCGGGAGUGUUAUAGCCUAUUGUACGAUACCCUGGCGGGGACCGAGGACCGCGCUUCGGCUAGGAUGUUGGCGUAAUGGUCAUUAGCGACCCGUCUUGAAACACGGACCAAGGAGUCGUCCAUUAGAGCGAGCGUUUGGGUGUAAAACCCGCACGCGUAAUGAAAGUGAAAUUAGGUGAGAGCUUCGGCGCAUCAUCGACCGAUCCUGAAGUUUACGGAUGGAUUUGAGUAAGAGUUUUAACGGACGGACCCGAAAGACAGUGAACUAUGCUUGAAUAGGGUGAAGCCAGAGGAAACUCUGGUGGAGGCUCGCAGCGGUUCUGACGUGCAAAUCGAUCGUCAAAUUUGAGCAUGGGGGCGAAAGACUAAUCGAACUGUUAGCUACUAGGCAGUUAAGAGUAGGCCAGUAAUGGCACUGCUAGUCGGCAUAUUAUAAAUGCUGGCGACACCGUCAAAUUGCGGGAACACCUUGCUAGGUCUAAACUACCGCUCUACCGUCGAAAGGCGCUAGAGCACCCGGUGUAAUGGCCGGGGUAUGGUAAUAACGUUUAGAAUAGAGGCAAUCCGCAGCCAAGUCCUACAUCAAUAGAUAUGGAUGCAGUUCACAGAUUAGACGUCGGUGGGCUCAGGGCACCUGGGCUUAAGAUAUAAUCGAGACCCCCUAGAGAUAGGUGGAAAUCUAGCAUUAAUAUAAUCGCUAGUAGCUGGUUACCGCCGAAGUUUCCCUCAGGAUAGCAGUGUUGACCUUCAGUUUUAUGAGGUAAAGCGAAUGAUUAGGGACUCGGGGGCGCUUAUUAGCCUUCAUCCAUUCUCAAACUUUAAAUAUGUAAGAAGCCCUUGUUACUUAAUUGAACGUGGGCAUUCGAAUGUACCAACACUAGUGGGCCAUUUUUGGUAAGCAGAACUGGCGAUGCGGGAUGAACCGAACGGGGGGUUAAGGCGCCAGAAUGUACGCUCAUCAGACACCACAAAAGGCGUUAGUACAUCUUGACAGCAGGACGGUGGCCAUGGAAGUCGGAAUCCGCUAAGGACUGUGUAACAACUCACCUGCCGAAUGUACUAGCCCUGAAAAUGGAUGGCGCUCAAGCGUACUGCCCAUACCCCCCCUUCAGGGUAGAAACGAUGCCCUGAAGAGUAGGCGGCCGUGGAGGUGUAACGAA